RNAcentral lists this ribosomal RNA (815 nucleotides) under Pseudoalteromonas sp. TB19. RNAcentral's name for it is "bacterial SSU rRNA". It matches the Rfam family "Bacterial small subunit ribosomal RNA", at positions 197 to 997 of the family's 1533-position model. Lineage: Bacteria; Pseudomonadati; Pseudomonadota; Gammaproteobacteria; Alteromonadales; Pseudoalteromonadaceae. The record is from RNAcentral.
GACCGUAGGGGGGUUCGUUUCUCCCCUUUACAUUGGCCCAAGUGGGAUUAGCUAGUUGGGUGAGGUAAUGGCUCACCAAGGCGACGAUCCCUAGCUGGUUUGAGAGGAUGAUCAGCCACACUGGGACUGAGACACGGCCCAGACUCCUACGGGAGGCAGCAGUGGGGAAUAUUGCACAAUGGGCGCAAGCCUGAUGCAGCCAUGCCGCGUGUGUGAAGAAGGCCUUCGGGUUGUAAAGCACUUUCAGUCAGGAGGAAAGGUUAGUAGUUAAUACCUGCUAGCUGUGACGUUACUGACAGAAGAAGCACCGGCUAACUCCGUGCCAGCAGCCGCGGUAAUACGGAGGGUGCGAGCGUUAAUCGGAAUUACUGGGCGUAAAGCGUACGCAGGCGGUUUGUUAAGCGAGAUGUGAAAGCCCCGGGCUCAACCUGGGAACUGCAUUUCGAACUGGCAAACUAGAGUGUGAUAGAGGGUGGUAGAAUUUCAGGUGUAGCGGUGAAAUGCGUAGAGAUCUGAAGGAAUACCGAUGGCGAAGGCAGCCACCUGGGUCAACACUGACGCUCAUGUACGAAAGCGUGGGGAGCAAACGGGAUUAGAUACCCCGGUAGUCCACGCCGUAAACGAUGUCUACUAAAAGCUCGGAACCUCGGUUCUGUUUUUCAAAGCUAACGCAUUUAAGUAGUACCGCCUGGGGGAGUACGGCCGCAAGGUUAAAACUCAAAUGAAUUGACGGGGGCCCGCGCAAGCGGUGGAGGCAUUGUGGUUUAAUUCGAUGCAACGCGAAAACCUUACCUACACUUGACAUACCAAAAAAC